Molecule: ribosomal RNA, 253 nt
Filed under: uncultured prokaryote
Description: partial 16S ribosomal RNA
Rfam family: Bacterial small subunit ribosomal RNA
Source: RNAcentral
ACGGAGGGGGCUAGCGUCGUUCGGAAUUACUGGGCGUAAAGCGCACGUAGGCGGAUCAGCAAGUUAGGGGUGAAAUCCCGGGGCUCAACCCCGGAACUGCCUUUAAAACUGCUGGUCUGGAGUCCGAGAGAGGUGAGUGGAAUUCCGAGUGUAGAGGUGAAAUUCGUAGAUAUUCGGAGGAACACCAGUGGCGAAGGCGGCUCACUGGCUCGGUACUGACGCUGAGGUGCGAAAGCGUGGGGAGCAAACAGGA